Molecule: ribosomal RNA, 1059 nt
Filed under: uncultured Bacteroidales bacterium
Lineage: Bacteria; Pseudomonadati; Bacteroidota; Bacteroidia; Bacteroidales
Description: bacterial SSU rRNA
Rfam family: Bacterial small subunit ribosomal RNA
Source: RNAcentral
AACGCUAGCUACAGGCUUAACACAUGCAAGUCGAGGGGCAGCACAGGGUAGCAAUACUUGGGUGGCGACCGGCGCACGGGUGAGUAACGCGUAUGCAACUUACCUAUCAGAGGGGGAUAGCCCGGCGAAAGUCGGAUUAAUACCCCAUGAAACAGGGGUCCCGCAUGGGAAUAUUUGUUAAAGAUUCAUCGCUGAUAGAUAGGCAUGCGUUCCAUUAGGCAGUUGGCGGGGUAACGGCCCACCAAACCGACGAUGGAUAGGGGUUCUGAGAGGAAGGUCCCCCACAUUGGUACUGAGACACGGACCAAACUCCUACGGGAGGCAGCAGUGAGGAAUAUUGGUCAAUGGCCGAGAGGCUGAACCAGCCAAGUCGCGUGAAGGAAGAAGGAUCUAUGGUUUGUAAACUUCUUUUAUAGGGGAAUAAAGUGGAGGACGUGUCCUUUUUUGUAUGUACCCUAUGAAUAAGCAUCGGCUAACUCCGUGCCAGCAGCCGCGGUAAUACGGAGGAUGCGAGCGUUAUCCGGAUUUAUUGGGUUUAAAGGGUGCGUAGGUGGUGAUUUAAGUCAGCGGUGAAAGUUUGUGGCUCAACCAUAAAAUUGCCGUUGAAACUGGGUUACUUGAGUGUGUUUGAGGUAGGCGGAAUGCGUGGUGUAGCGGUGAAAUGCAUAGAUAUCACGCAGAACUCCGAUUGCGAAGGCAGCUUACUAAACCAUAACUGACACUGAAGCACGAAAGCGUGGGGAUCAAACAGGAUUAGAUACCCUGGUAGUCCACGCAGUAAACGAUGAUUACUAGGAGUUUGCGAUACAAUGUAAGCUCUACAGCGAAAGCGUUAAGUAAUCCACCUGGGGAGUACGCCGGCAACGGUGAAACCCAAAGGAAUUGACGGGGGCCCGCACAAGCGGAGGAACAUGUGGUUUAAUUCGAUGAUACGCGAGGAACCUUACCCGGGUUUGAACGUAGUCUGACCGGAGUGGAAACACUUUUUCUAGCAAUAGCAGAUUACGAGGUGCUGCAUGGUUGUCGUCAGCUCGUGCCGUGAGGUGUCGGCUUAAGUGC